AAACGUUUUUCCAGUAACCUUAAUAGAGCAUUCCUUCAAACUUAUUUGAUCUUUAAUAAAGCUUGUCUAACAUCUUUUAAAUGUUACUACUUGUUACAGAACGUUCAGAGGAAAAAAAAGUAACGUUCCAAUUCCAUACAAUAGAAUGUUCCCUUAACGUUCACAUGACAUUCUUAGAACAUACAGUAUUUUUUGUUAGAUAGGUAAAGAUUCCCAUCCCUACUGUAACUUGAUUAAAAGUCUAAAAGCACCUGGGGAGACAUGCCACUCAGUUUAUUAAGGACAGAAAUUGUACAGACAGUCAGAAUGAGGCAAACCAGUAAAGGUCAAGGGUGUGUGCGAGAGAAAAGUGGUCACUGGAUAACUGUUAAGGUUGGAAAGGUCAUCCAUGGCCAUUUUUGCUGUAAAUUGCUUUCUCUACUGAUAAUUAGACAUGCAGAGUCCCCACAUAACUGUCCACUGAGGACACAGUAUUGGAGUACUGCCAUUUUUGCAAUGCUGAUUAUUUGUAUUACAAAGUGAUAAUGUUUAUGUCCCACAAUGUGGUGGUGAUUUAAAGCCAUUAAAGAGAGCUGAUUUCAGUUUUUCUGAACAAAAGUGAAGACACAGCACACGCAGUCAAUUUUUGUCAUUAUAGCUUUAAUGAUACUUGUUCCCACAAACUGUUAGAUCAAUACAAAAGAAGAGACUUCCUGACAUAUUACAGUAUAUACAACCCAUAAUGUGAAAUUGCUUCCCUGCAAGGAUUCACUUCAAGCCUCCGUGUUUUAUGGACUGAGCAUUUUCCUGAAGCUUCAUGUCAGGCAAAGGCAAGAAAAUGGAUGAAUAAGGGCAUCAUGUGUAAGAAUGACAAUGAAAUAUAACAUAAUAGUGGUGCAACAUAUAACAAAGACAAUGGCAGCUGGGAACAGUGGCAGGUCUUCCCAGACGCUACGGUAAAUAGAGAGCAAUAAAUGUAACAGGUUAUAAAAAUAAACAGUUAUGAAUAUAAUGCUAAAAUGAAAUAUUGCAGUGCACACUGAGUACAGUUCAAAAUGAUAAAUGCACAAGCUGCUAAGCUGCUGGUUAAGGCAGGACAUAUUGCCUUAAUAUUUGGC
Cyprinus carpio carpio is the source of this 1097-nucleotide long non-coding RNA. NCBI's taxonomy places the organism in Eukaryota, Metazoa, Chordata, Actinopteri, Cypriniformes, Cyprinidae. The record is from Ensembl.